Trifolium pratense (red clover) is the source of this 2218-nucleotide RNA transcript. It is a transcript of the gene named disease resistance protein RPV1-like, with no coding region annotated. The transcript has 5 exons. The record is from RefSeq and is a predicted model, not a curated record. Lineage: Eukaryota; Viridiplantae; Streptophyta; Magnoliopsida; Fabales; Fabaceae.
AAUAGCGAGGAGUUAUUUUGAUAAUUUUAAGGGGCACAUGGAAAAUGAUGGGGCGUCAAAAGAACAACUCUAAAUAAAAAUGAAAUGGGCCAAGUUAGACAUGACGUGAAGAAUUGGUUUCUGUCUUCAAUUGCUUAAAAAAUACUUUAAAUAGCAGAGUAUCAUGCUUAACCUACUGUCAACCAAAUUCAGCAACUAUCAAAGGUUGUAGAGAAUCUUCUCCUUUUCUCUACGCUUCACUAUCAUAAUAAUUUUCCGAUUCAAUCCUUUCAUGUCAUCCAAAGCAGGAGGAGAAAGAUGAUCAGCUGAUUUCAGAGAUGAGUUGGAGAGAAGCGCUUCCAGAGGCUCCUGACCUCGCAGGAGGAUUUGUAGUUCUAAAUUCAAGGAAUGGAAGUGAGGAAGUCAAGGAUAUUGUUGAAAAUGCUACAUGUUUGUUUGACAUGACAGACUUGUACAUUGUCGAUGAUCCUGUUGGAAUCAAAUCUCGAAUACGAGAUAUGAUUCAACGGCUAAACAUCCAACAAUCAAAUGAUAUCAUGCCACUAGGUUUGUGGGGCAUGGGCGGAAUUGGUAAAACCACAAUCGCGAAAGCGAUUAAUGAUAAACAGAUGAAAGUGAAUGAAUUGAGCUUUUUAGUUGGCAUGCAUAGUACAAUUGUCGCUAGCUCAAAAAUAUUCCUAAAGAUCAAGUACAACAAAAAUGAUAGGAACAAACUUGGAAUGCAUGAUUUGAUUUGUUACGAGACAUGGGAACAAACUUUUGGUGAUUUCUCUAUGUCCUCAGUUCAUUCUCCAUUCAAAAUGAAACUAUGAACAUUUCAUCCACAAUUUGUCUCAGUUGCUCAAGUAUCAAAUAUUGGAAUCAAUUGCAACUACAUUACAUACUCCUACAUUUAAUUCAAUGUUAUAGUCAAGUGCAUGUUUACAGGAUGAGGUCAUAUGAAAAUGUUUUCAACCACAAAAUGGAUGAUGAAAAGUUCAAACUCCCGGUUGGUUUUCGAUUCCAUUCGACCGAUGAAGAGCUCAUAAAUCAAUACCUUGUCAAGAAGGUUAAUGACAAUAGCUUCUUUGCUAUAGCUAUCACAGAGAUUGAUAUGAAUAAGUGUGAACCAUGUGAUUUGGCCGAGUUAGCUAAAAUGGGAGAAAUAGAAAAUACCCAACUGGUCAAAGGACAAACAGGGCCACUAAUGCUAGCUACUGGAAAGCCACUGGCAAAGACAAAGAGAUUAUCAAGGGAAAUGAAUUAAUUUGGAUGUAGAAAACACUGGUUUUCUACAAAGGAAGAGCUCCAAGAGGUGAAAAAACCAAUUGGGUCAUGCAUACAGACUGGAGGGAAGUAACACAGUUUCUGAGCAGAAUCUCUCCAAACAAGUAACAGUUUAUGAGCAGAAUCUCUCCAAACAAGGAACGAAUAUGGAUGUCAACGGGUUUGGUGCUUAUUCCCUAAUGAUAGUUAUCCAGAUUGGAUAACCUUUAGUUCUAAAGGUUCUUCUGUAACUUUUGAAGUACCUCAAGUGGUGGAGUAUAACUUGAAGGCAAUGAUGUGCAUUGUCUAUACUUCAACCUCAAAUAACAUAACAUCAGACGGCCUCAGAAAUAUGUUAGCGAAAAUUACAUAAAACUACCAUUCAACUUUUUAAUAGAGGCAUUAAUCUCCUUAGAAGAUGAGGAGGGGACGAGAGUAGUAUCAUGUAUACAAUCCGGUAACAAAGUAGACGUUGCUGUUUUUGAGAAUGGUUUUAUCCUAAAGAAGGUAGCAGUUUAUCCUGUAAAUGAUACCAGAUCUGAGGAGUUGCAUUCCUUUUAAUGUCAGAGCGGAAGAGGUAAGAAAUCAAUGGUGUUAGCCGUGAAAGCUUCAUGUCUGGUGACCAUUCAAUGCAAAAAGUUGAAGCUUUUUCUGUUUUUCGUGAAGAGACACCAUAUCUUCUUCCAUUCAACCAAUGCUAGUAAGGGUUUAUCGACAACUCUUUGUUAUAUAUCAAUUAGUUAUAUUAUAGAUAAAUGGAAGUUAUAUUGUAAUACAAAAUAUGUAUCAAAGUUAUUAGAGUAACUAAUAAGAUUGUCCAAGGUUACCUAUAUGUAUCAAGUCCUGAAUCGAUUAUGUAUCUAGUAAGAAUUAGAGAAAAUAACCAUUUUGCUCCGACCAUGUGAGAGACAUUGUCACUAUGGUUCCUCAAUGUAUUGAAAUUACAAAUAUAUUUAGUUGUAACUAUUGUGAC